This 577-nucleotide ribosomal RNA is filed under the name Pseudopelecocera latifrons. RNAcentral's name for it is "partial 28S ribosomal RNA". Lineage: Eukaryota; Metazoa; Arthropoda; Insecta; Diptera; Syrphidae. The record is from RNAcentral.
GAGUUCAAGAGUACGUGAAACUGCUUAGAGGUUAAGCCUGAUGAACCUGAAUAUCCAUUAUGGAAAAUUCAUCACUAAUACUGUGUUAUUAAUAAUAUCAUAGAAAUAGUGUGCAAUUUUUCCAUAUAAGGACAUUGUAAUCUGUUAAUGUAAUAAAUAUUUAUUAAAAAAUCUUAUACUAUAGUUUAUUCAAAUUAGUUAUUUUCGAAUUUCUAACAUAGAAUAAAUGUAUUUGAUUUAAUAAAUCAUUGACAGAUUUAUUUAUAUAUAGUGCUUAAAUUUUUUUUUAAAAUUUUACAAUAUUAUAUUAAUUUUAUUUAUCAUAUUUAUUGNAUGCACUUAUAUGAUNUACAAUGCAAUAGAUNCAGGAUACCUNCGGGACCCGUCUUGAAACACGGACCAAGGAGUCUAACAUAUGUGCAAGUCAUUGGGUAUUUUUAAUAAAACCCAAUGGCAUAAUUAACUUAACUGUUUUUAAAUGGGAUUAGUUUAUAUUUUGUUAUGAAUUAUGAAUUCAAUCCCGGGGCGUUCUAUACAGUUAUGUAUAAUGAUAUUUAUAUUAUUUAUACCUCUAACU